Cylas formicarius (sweet potato weevil) is the source of this 945-nucleotide long non-coding RNA. RefSeq lists it as uncharacterized. The transcript has 3 exons. NCBI's taxonomy places the organism in Eukaryota, Metazoa, Arthropoda, Insecta, Coleoptera, Brentidae. The record is from RefSeq and is a predicted model, not a curated record.
UGUAACCUGUUUAUGCGUAUUUCUAGUGUUCUAGAACGUACAAAUAUAGAAAGAAGACUUUGAGAUAGUCAUCGGACUCUAGAAAAAAACCCACACCUGGUAGCAAAAAUGUGUGUUUCAAAUGUUUUUGCGAGAAAUCUCGAGCCAUAUCUGAUGCCAAGAUAAAAGAAGUUUUCACAUUUCAACUAUUGUCCUGAAAAUGUCGGAGCAGUUAGCGAAGAACAGGAAGAGCGGCUUAACCAGGGCAUUAGACAAAUGGAGAUGGAGCAUAACGAUGAUGGCGGACUACUGCUGCUGCUAUAGCUUUCUGGGAAGAAGACGAAGAUUUCACUCAAAAAGACCUGUGUAUUCACACGCGUCUCGGACGGUUCAAAAACGCAGGAAUAAAUCGGGACGGCGCUCGAAUGAAGUUCCGAGGGCAAAGUAAUUGGUACAUGACGCAAGGCAUUGUUAAAAGUCAAUAAAUCCCCGCGAAGGCGCAAUUACGAUCGACAAUUAACAAAUUAACCGGUCUACGUUGUCGACGGCGCUGCGGGUUUGCAUAAAAUGCCUGUUUAAAUAGUUCUAACGGCAAUUCUACAUCACCGGCCGAUAUAAACAAGCUCGUAGAAAUGGUGAUUGUUUAUGUGAGGUAAUUUUGCGCCUGUCUGCAGCGAUUAAUGCGAUUUGCAUGUCCGAGGUGUCUCGUUAAGCAUCAAAAUGAAGAAAUAUAUAAUUUUUUCUUGGUUAGUGAUUAAUUAAAAUGAAAUUACCGUUAUGAAUAAGGGGCUAUACCUUGGGCCGUAUUUUAUAGGCCAGAAUAUCCAGAAGUAUGGAAACGUGGUCAAGUAUUUCUAAUAUUUAAAAAUAGCGAAAGCCAAAACAUACAUACCGAUGCGAUUUAUACAGAAUGUUCUAUGUUUUGUUAUUAUUAAGUGUUCAAAAGGUAAAAAUAGACUUAUUCGA